RNAcentral lists this long non-coding RNA (845 nucleotides) under Sinocyclocheilus grahami. Its description in RNAcentral is "lncRNA (ENSSGRG00000031970.1)". The record is from RNAcentral. Lineage: Eukaryota; Metazoa; Chordata; Actinopteri; Cypriniformes; Cyprinidae.
GAAUAUCUCUGUGUUACAGUAUCAAAAGGUGUUUCCUCAGGUUAAAUCACCGAUCGCGUCCAGUGUGUCACAGCUGACGUCGACUGACACUCGGUGGAAGCCCCUCUCCUUCCCUCGCGCGUUUUGUUCUCUGGUUCGCUUCAUUCGCGAGGCUUCGUCUUAUUUUCAUCAGCUCGAGCUUCACGCGGGAGCCGUCUGUCUAUAUCAAUAUGCAUUAAUGUAGGCGACAACGUGGAAGAGAUAAGGUGAGAUAACCUUGUUGAUAUCAAAUAGCACUACGUGAAGGUCUGCGUUUGAUUGUGACAUUGGCGGACUUGUUACUACACCACGCGCGUUGUAAACUCGACUUCUGUUGUCUGUAUGUGUAAGUGCAUUGACGGCUGUUGAUAAAUGUCGAUAGAAGAGCUCUUAUCUCAUCACCUGGCACCUUUGUUUUGGAUUUGUCAAGGAUUUCCUAAAUCGAGAGUGGGUAUACACGACGGGUUUUAAUCCAAAUCGGGAUCUAUACAUCCAAACUGGGAUCUAUGAGCGGAAAAGUGGCUAAGCCUAAAGAAGAAAAGGAUGCUUCAAAGGAAUGACGUGUUGGUGGAUCUCUGUUUGGAGUUUAAUGACUGGCGACCUUCUUUAAAGAAAAGACCACACCACAGGACACCGCCUGACACCACUGGAGCUCCUCAUUAACUUACAACCAGCUCAACACACACACACACACACACACACGUGCGCUUAUAUCCACAAUAUAUUCCAUAUAUUUAACAAAUCCACAUACACUUACCUGUACCAUCAAUAUAAACAUUUCAUAUAUUUAAGAAGCUAUUCUAUAUUAAACUUUAGUAGUAUUACCU